Molecule: ribosomal RNA, 253 nt
Filed under: uncultured bacterium
Lineage: Bacteria
Description: partial 16S ribosomal RNA
Rfam family: Bacterial small subunit ribosomal RNA
Source: RNAcentral
UACGAAGGGGGCUAGCGUUGUUCGGAAUUACUGGGCGUAAAGGGCGCGUAGGCGGCUGUGCAAGUCAGGUGUGAAAGCCCUGGGCUCAACCCAGGAUGUGCACUUGAUACUGCGCGGCUAGAGUGUCGGAGAGGAUGGUGGAAUUCCCAGUGUAGAGGUGAAAUUCGUAGAUAUCGGGAGGAACACCAGUGGCGAAGGCGACUUCCUGGCCUGUUCUUGACGCUGAGGCGCGAAAGCUAGGGGAGCAAACGGG